CCUACGGGUGGCAGCAGUGGGGAAUAUUGCACAAUGGGCGAAAGCCUGAUGCAGCAACGCCGCGUGAGCGAUGAAGGCCUUCGGGUCGUAAAGUUCUGUCCUUAAGGAAGAUAAUGACGGUACUUGAGGAGGAAGCCCUGGCUAACUACGUGCCAGCAGCCACGGUAAUACGUAGGGGCCUAGCGUUAUCCGGAAUUACGGGGCGAAAGGGGUGGGUGGGUGGUUUCUUAGGUCAGCGGUGAAAGGCUACGGCUCAACCGUAGUAAGCCUUUGAAAGUGGGAAACUUGAGUGCAGGAGAGGAGGGUGGAAUUCCUAGUGUAGCGGUGAAAUGCGUAGAGAUUAGGAGGAACAC
RNAcentral lists this ribosomal RNA (353 nucleotides) under uncultured bacterium. Its description in RNAcentral is "partial 16S ribosomal RNA". It matches the Rfam family "Bacterial small subunit ribosomal RNA", at positions 338 to 709 of the family's 1533-position model. The record is from RNAcentral.